GGCUCGGUAGCUUAGUUGGUAAAGUGCUCUUCUAGCAUACAAGAGUCUUGGGUUUGAAUCCCAGCCGAGCAC
This 72-nucleotide transfer RNA is filed under the name Aedes aegypti (yellow fever mosquito). It matches the Rfam family "tRNA". Rfam says of the family: Transfer RNA (tRNA) molecules are approximately 80 nucleotides in length. Their secondary structure includes four short double-helical elements and three loops (D, anti-codon, and T loops). Further hydrogen bonds mediate the characteristic L-shaped molecular structure. tRNAs have two regions of fundamental functional importance: the anti-codon, which is responsible for specific mRNA codon recognition, and the 3' end, to which the tRNAs corresponding amino acid is attached (by aminoacyl-tRNA synthetases). tRNAs cope with the degeneracy of the genetic code in two manners: having more than one tRNA (with a specific anti-codon) for a particular amino acid; and 'wobble' base-pairing, i.e. permitting non-standard base-pairing at the 3rd anti-codon position. The record is from Rfam by way of RNAcentral. Lineage: Eukaryota; Metazoa; Arthropoda; Insecta; Diptera; Culicidae.